Molecule: ribosomal RNA, 266 nt
Filed under: uncultured bacterium
Lineage: Bacteria
Description: partial 16S ribosomal RNA
Rfam family: Bacterial small subunit ribosomal RNA
Source: RNAcentral
UUCUCCUACGGGACGCAGCAGUGGGGAAUAUUGCACAAUGGGGGAAACCCUGAUGCAGCUCCUCCGCUUUCUCGAUGAAGUAUUUCGGUAUGUAAAGCUCUAUCAGCAGGGAAGAAAAUGACGGUACCUGACUAAGAAGCCCCGGCUAACUACGUGCCAGCAGCCGCGGUAAUACGUAGGGGGCAAGCGUUAUCCGGAUUUACUGGGUGUAAAGGGAGCGUAGACGGUCCUGCAAGCCAGAUGUGAAAGCCCGGGGUCCAACCCCG